Molecule: transfer RNA, 92 nt
Filed under: Sphingopyxis bauzanensis
Lineage: Bacteria; Pseudomonadati; Pseudomonadota; Alphaproteobacteria; Sphingomonadales; Sphingopyxidaceae
Also listed under: 9 other names
Description: tRNA-Ser
Rfam family: tRNA
About the family: Transfer RNA (tRNA) molecules are approximately 80 nucleotides in length. Their secondary structure includes four short double-helical elements and three loops (D, anti-codon, and T loops). Further hydrogen bonds mediate the characteristic L-shaped molecular structure. tRNAs have two regions of fundamental functional importance: the anti-codon, which is responsible for specific mRNA codon recognition, and the 3' end, to which the tRNAs corresponding amino acid is attached (by aminoacyl-tRNA synthetases). tRNAs cope with the degeneracy of the genetic code in two manners: having more than one tRNA (with a specific anti-codon) for a particular amino acid; and 'wobble' base-pairing, i.e. permitting non-standard base-pairing at the 3rd anti-codon position.
Source: RNAcentral
GGAGACGUGGGUGAGUGGCUGAAACCAACGGUUUGCUAAACCGUCGUGCUGUGAAUGCGGCACCGAGGGUUCGAAUCCCUCCGUCUCCGCCA